This 497-nucleotide ribosomal RNA is filed under the name uncultured bacterium. RNAcentral describes it as "partial 16S ribosomal RNA". It matches the Rfam family "Bacterial small subunit ribosomal RNA", at positions 28 to 507 of the family's 1533-position model. The record is from RNAcentral.
GAUGAACGCUGGCGGCGUGCCUAAUACAUGCAAGUCGAGCGAACAGAUGAGGAGCUUGGUCCUCUGACGUUAGCGGCGGACGGGUGAGUAACACGUGGAUAACCUACCUAUAAGACUGGGAUAACUUCGGGAAACCGGAGCUAAUACCGGAUAAUAUAUUGAACCGCAUGGUUCAAUAGUGAAAGACGGUUUUGCUGUCCCUUAUAGAUGGAUCCGCGCCGCAUUAGCUAGUUGGUAAGGUAACGGCUUACCAAGGCAACGAUGCGUAGCCGACCCGAGAGGGUGAUCGGCCACACUGGAACUGAGACACGGUCCAGACUCCUACGGGAGGCAGCAGUAGGGAAGCUUCGGCAAUGGGCGAAAGCCUGACGGAGCAACGCCGCGUGAGUGAUGAAGGUCUUCGGAUCGUAAAACUCUGUUAUUAGGGAAGAACAAAUGUGUAAGUAACUAUGCACGUCUUGACGGUACCUAAUCAGAAAGCAACGGCUAACUACGUG